RNAcentral lists this ribosomal RNA (427 nucleotides) under uncultured bacterium. RNAcentral describes it as "partial 16S ribosomal RNA". It matches the Rfam family "Bacterial small subunit ribosomal RNA", at positions 355 to 774 of the family's 1533-position model. The record is from RNAcentral.
UGGGGAAUAUUGCACAAUGGGCGCAAGCCUGAUGCAGCCAUGCCGCGUGUAUGAAGAAGGCCUUCGGGUUGUAAAGUACUUUCAGCGGGGAGGAAGGUGUUGAGGUUAAUAACCUCAGCAAUUGACGUUACCCGCAGAAGAAGCACCGGCUAACUCCGUGCCAGCAGCCGCGGUAAUACGGAGGGUGCAAGCGUUAAUCGGAAUUACUGGGCGUAAAGCGCACGCAGGCGGUGUGUCAAGUCGGAUGUGAAAUCCCCGGGCUCAACCUGGGAACUGCAUUCGAAACUGGCAGGCUAGAGUCUUGUAGAGGGGGGUAGAAUUCCAGGUGUAGCGGUGAAAUGCGUAGAGAUCUGGAGGAACACCGGUGGCGAAGGCGGCCCCCUGGACAAAGACUGACGCUCAGGUGCGAAAGCGUGGGGAGCAAACA